GUACACGCUGUGACUAGCAUAUCAAUAAGCGGAGGAAAAGAAACUAACAAGGAUUCCCCUAGUAACGGCGAGUGAAGCGGGAAGAGCUCAAAUUUGAAAUCUUAAAGGGUUUCCCUUUACGAAUUGUAGUUUAAAGAAGUGUUUUCUGUUGAGGUUUUGGUAAAAGUUCUUUGGAAUAGGACAUCAUAGAGGGUGAGAAUCCCGUAUUUGACCUUUACUUUCAACUUUGUGAUACACUUUCAAAGAGUCGGAUUGUUUGGGAAUGCAGUCCAAAAUGGGUGGUAAAUUUCAUCUAAAGCUAAAGUAUUGGCGAGAGACCGAUAGCGAACAAGUACCGUGAGGGAAAGAUGAAAAGAACUUUGAAAAGAGAGUUAAACAGUACGUGAAAUUGUCAAAAGGGAAGCGUUUGACACCAGUGUUGUUUUUCUGAAAAUCAAUUAAAGAACUGUUUAUGCUAAGUUGUUUAGACUUUAUCAGCUAACUGUUUAGUUUUGAGCUUUUCUUUAAUGCACUUUUCAGUUAACAAGUCAACAUCAAUUUCUUUUGCUGUAAAAAAGCUUGAGGAAGGUGGCUUGAGAUUCGUCUUAAGUGUUUAUAGCCUCUUGCCUAUGCAGUCGGAGAGAUUGAGGUCUGCAGCGUAGAUCCUUCGGGGCUAAAUGCAUUUGUGCUAAGUUAUAACAUUUUAUAGACAACUUGUUGACUAUGAUUUGUCUUGUAGCUUACUCGCUUAUGUUAUUUUACCUACGCUUAGGAUGUUGACGCGCGUGUGUGCGUG
RNAcentral lists this ribosomal RNA (775 nucleotides) under uncultured Neocallimastigales. Its description in RNAcentral is "partial large subunit ribosomal RNA". It matches the Rfam family "Eukaryotic large subunit ribosomal RNA", at positions 22 to 639 of the family's 3401-position model. The record is from RNAcentral. Lineage: Eukaryota; Fungi; Neocallimastigomycota; Neocallimastigomycetes; Neocallimastigales.